Molossus molossus (Pallas's mastiff bat) is the source of this 521-nucleotide long non-coding RNA. RefSeq lists it as uncharacterized. The transcript has 2 exons. NCBI's taxonomy places the organism in Eukaryota, Metazoa, Chordata, Mammalia, Chiroptera, Molossidae. The record is from RefSeq and is a predicted model, not a curated record.
GCAGGCACCCCUGCCGCCGGGGCUGGAACAAGGCCCUCCUUCACGCCGAUGAGCUCAGACACUGACCGUCUGACCCAGAUGUGGUCAAGGCAAAUGGGCGGAGCCCUGGCCUCUCAGCACGAGGGAAGUGACCACGGGGGUGACCCGCGCCCCUCUGUUCUCUCCAGGAGCACCCACGGGGAGCACUGCCAACAGGAAGACAACUCGUCCUCCCAAUGACUGAGCUGAGCUGUGCUGACAGGAGGGAAGAUCUGUGGCCGAGCUGUCACCACCCGGCGUGGGCGAUCCAUCUGGGUCCAGGAACCCGGCCAGGCGGACGUAUUCAGUGCACGCUCGGAAGACAAACAUACGCAUUUAUGUGUCACUUGUUGCGAUAUAAAUGCGAACCUGUGCUUCUUUCAAAACUUUUAAUGAAUUGUAUACAUUGCGGAAGAUUUAAAGGGUAAACCCAGUGGCUCAAAAUGUUACUUUGAACAUAUUUGUCACUUCGACAACAGCACCAAAAAAAAAAAAAAAAAAAA